This 467-nucleotide unclassified non-coding RNA is filed under the name Hevea brasiliensis (rubber tree). Lineage: Eukaryota; Viridiplantae; Streptophyta; Magnoliopsida; Malpighiales; Euphorbiaceae. The record is from RNAcentral.
AAAAUGAUGUCUGAUGCUGAUGCUGGAGAGUUUUGGGGUUUCUUCGGUGGCUUUGCUCCUCUUCCAAGAAAGACAGCUUUCGAUGAUGAUAGAAAUAUGGAGCCCUUACCUCCUAAGCUGCUUCGUGUUGACAAAGGGCAGCCAGUUUCAGUUGAAGCUGAUUCAUUGACAAGAGAGUUAUUGAACACAAAUAAAUGUUACCUACUAGACUGUGGAAUUGAAGUGUUUGUGUGGAUUGGUCGAAAUACAUCUCUUGAGGAGAGAAAAAGUGCAAGUGCUGCUGCAGAAGAAAUUCUCCGUGGCGCUGACCGACCAAAAGCUCAUGUUAUUCGUGUUAUAGAAGGCUUUGAAACUGUCAUGUUUCGAUUAAAAUUUGAUAUUUGGCCACAGACGACUGAAGUGACUGUAUCCGAGGAUGGUAGGGGCAAGGUUGCAGCACUUCUAAAACGCCAAGGGUUGAAUGUCAA